RNAcentral lists this ribosomal RNA (654 nucleotides) under Dothiora ribesia. RNAcentral's name for it is "partial 28S ribosomal RNA". It matches the Rfam family "Eukaryotic large subunit ribosomal RNA", at positions 188 to 856 of the family's 3401-position model. Lineage: Eukaryota; Fungi; Ascomycota; Dothideomycetes; Dothideales; Dothioraceae. The record is from RNAcentral.
CCUUGGAACAGGACGUCAUAGAGGGUGAGAAUCCCGUAUGUGACCGGCUCUGGCACCUUAUGUAAAGCUCCUUCGACGAGUCGAGUUGUUUGGGAAUGCAGCUCUAAAUGGGAGGUAAAUUUCUUCUAAAGCUAAAUACUGGCGAGAGACCGAUAGCGCACAAGUAGAGUGAUCGAAAGAUGAAAAGCACUUUGGAAAGAGAGUUAAAAAGCACGUGAAAUUGUUGAAAGGGAAGCGCUUGCAAUCAGACUUGGACUUGACUGUUCAACAGGUCUUCUGACCUGCCUAUUCAGUCUUGUCCAGGCCARMAUCARUUUCGGCGGCCGGACAAAGGCCCCAGGAAUGUGGCUUUCCCUUCGGGGGAAGUGUUAUAGCCUAGGGUGUAAUACGGCCAGCCGGGACUGAGGUCCGCGCUUCGGCUAGGAUGCUGGCGUAAUGGUUGUAAGCGGCCCGUCUUGAAACACGGACCAAGGAGUCUAACAUCUAUGCGAGUGUUAGGGUGUCAAACCCUUACGCGUAAUGAAAGUGAACGGAGGUGAGAACCCGCAAGGGWGCAUCAUCGACCGAUCCUGAUGUCUUCGGAUGGAUUUGAGUAAGAGCAUAGCUGUUGGGACCCGAAAGAUGSUGACUAUGCCUGAAUAGGGUGAAGCCAGA